GGUCCCGCCUGCCCUGUGACCCCUGGUUCAACGGCCGCGGUAUUUUGACCGUGCAAAGGUAGCGCAAUCACUUGUCUCUUAAAUGAGGACCUGUAUGAAUGGCAUAACGAGGGCUUAACUGUCUCCUUUCCCCGGUCAAUGAAAUUGAUCUUCCCGUGCAGAAGCGGGAAUUCUAACAUAAGACGAGAAGACCCUAUGGAGCUUUAGACUCUAGAACAGAUCAUGUAAGCUACCCCAGUGAAAUAGGUAAUAACUAUUGAAUUCCUGUUCCCCUGUCUUCGGUUGGGGCGACCACGGGGAAUAAAAAAACCCCCAUGUGGACCAGGAGCACAUUACUCCUACAACCAUGAGCCACAGCUCUAAUGCACAAAACAUUUGACCAUUAGAUCCGGCAAAGCCGAUCAACGGACCAAGUUACCCUAGGGAUAACAGCGCAAUCCCCUUUAAGAGUCCAUAUCGACAAGGGGGUUUACGACCUCGAUGUUGGAUCAAGACAUCCUAAUGGUGCAGCCGCUAUUAAGGGUUCGUUUGUUCAACGAUUAAAGUCUU
This 549-nucleotide ribosomal RNA is filed under the name Chelon melinopterus (Otomebora mullet). RNAcentral's name for it is "Planiliza melinopterus (Otomebora mullet) partial 16S ribosomal RNA". It matches the Rfam family "Bacterial large subunit ribosomal RNA", at positions 1851 to 2597 of the family's 2925-position model. The record is from RNAcentral. Lineage: Eukaryota; Metazoa; Chordata; Actinopteri; Mugiliformes; Mugilidae.